GGGGGCGUAGCUCAGUUGGGAGAGCGCUUGAAUGGCAUUCAAGAGGUCAGCGGUUCGAUCCCGCUCGCCUCCA
RNAcentral lists this transfer RNA (73 nucleotides) under bacterium. RNAcentral describes it as "tRNA-Ala". It matches the Rfam family "tRNA". Rfam says of the family: Transfer RNA (tRNA) molecules are approximately 80 nucleotides in length. Their secondary structure includes four short double-helical elements and three loops (D, anti-codon, and T loops). Further hydrogen bonds mediate the characteristic L-shaped molecular structure. tRNAs have two regions of fundamental functional importance: the anti-codon, which is responsible for specific mRNA codon recognition, and the 3' end, to which the tRNAs corresponding amino acid is attached (by aminoacyl-tRNA synthetases). tRNAs cope with the degeneracy of the genetic code in two manners: having more than one tRNA (with a specific anti-codon) for a particular amino acid; and 'wobble' base-pairing, i.e. permitting non-standard base-pairing at the 3rd anti-codon position. The record is from RNAcentral. RNAcentral also lists the same sequence under 4 other names.